AGAUGUUGCUGAACUACAACUCCCAUGAUUCAUUCAUUGAAACAGAUAGUCAAGGCAUCAUGGGAGUUGUAGUUUAGUAACA
Non-coding RNA from Pelobates cultripes (western spadefoot toad), 82 nucleotides. The record is from the annotation of a GenBank genome assembly. NCBI's taxonomy places the organism in Eukaryota, Metazoa, Chordata, Amphibia, Anura, Pelobatidae.